This 66-nucleotide transfer RNA is filed under the name Bugula neritina. RNAcentral's name for it is "tRNA-Arg". The record is from RNAcentral. Lineage: Eukaryota; Metazoa; Bryozoa; Gymnolaemata; Cheilostomatida; Bugulidae.
AGAUGGUUAAUACAUAAAAAGUAUAUUUGAUUUCGAAUCAAAAAGAGUUUCAUUUAACAUCAUCUU